GUAAAACAAAACGUAACUUCAGUACACUACCUAUAGCACUCAUAGCCUCAAAUUAAAAUAUCAUAUACGCAAAUGGAUCCCGUCUUCAAGACUUUACGAAACCGAGUGGUGAUGUAUCAUACUCCAACGAAAAGGGCGUAUCAUCGCAGGACCGAAGAUCAGCCGAAUGCAGUCGUAUUGACUGGAGAUCCUGACACCUAUGAUACAGCUGAUAUCACCGGAGACUCAACAAAUCCUCCAGCUGUUCUCGAUAAUCAAUCUUACCAAAGUAUUGAACCCACUGAGUCCGUUAAAAAUGAAUCGCAUGAAACUGGAAGAUAUGUGUCCGUUCAAAAUGAAUCGAGUGAAACUGAAAGUGAUGAUAAUGAUCUCUCCAUUGUUUUUGACUCAAGAGAUCCCAUUGAAUAUUUGGACCUCACCGGCCAUUGGAAUCAAUAAUUUUCUUUGAACCCUAGUUGAACUUCGAACCCUUGGUGCAACAGAAAAAGAGGACAAAUUCCAUUAACUCCAGAUGUUCAGCGUAUUUCUCUUGAAAGGACAACUAGAAAUAUGAGUUACAUAAAACCUACAAAGGGAUUUAUCUACAAGGAGGCUUUGCUGCAUUUAUUGAUAAGCAAUUGAUGGUGUAUAUAUUUUUUAUCAGUGAUUUAUGCGAACAAAGCUCUUGUUCAUUUGAUGUUUAUUAUUUGUGUUAGUUCACUAUGCUGAAGUCAAAAUUUCCAUGCUCACAGUGCAAUUAAUUGCCGUUAAUAACAUGGACUUAACUUUAUAAAUAACUAGGUGGCUGCCACAUAAAUUUAUCAGAAAGUUGACCCCUCACCUCAGCGCCGCAAUGUAUGCAACAAGUUUUUGCAUUCGCACGCCGGCUGAGGCUUGUGAUGCGAUCCCAUAAAUUAAACUGGCUAAAACCGGAGAAAAGGAAGGCAAACGUCACCGAAACAGGAAAAAAGAAGCGCAUGGCCAGAGCAAACUCAGUCCGCAGAAGCCGCAAACAUGCAAACCCAAAAAAAAAGGGGGGCGACAUGGGCGUGGGAAGGGGGGACACCGGAUGCCAGGGAUAGAAUGCAGCACCAACUAAGCACGUGUCAAGAGUGCGGCCCAAGUUUUAAUUUGCCGGAGGCAUCCACUAACAUCCUAUGCCCCGAAUCGCCACUGGAAGAACUUCAAUGCAUUUAUAUAUGUACUUUAUAUUUUUUAAACAUAAUUAUUUCAGUUUCAAAACUACACACAUUACACAGGCAUAUAAGAAAUGCAUCUUGUUAGCUGAUUCACAAUCUAAAUCUGUUUACAAUCUAAAUCUGUUUCAUUAAAAUGUUGUUGCGAAUA
This 1326-nucleotide small RNA is filed under the name Drosophila yakuba. RNAcentral describes it as "GE18086". Lineage: Eukaryota; Metazoa; Arthropoda; Insecta; Diptera; Drosophilidae. The record is from RNAcentral.